UUCAUGUGUCUCUCUCAUUUACCUGCUAUCACAGGUCAGUGUGUGUGUACACCGCGAUUUUUGCUCCGUGAUUUUGUUCUAUAUUAACAAAUAUUAAGAGCGUGAUUGUUUAUAGCAUGUUAUCUUGAUGUUUUGUUACUAAUUGACAGAGAAUAUAUAAGAAAGUUUCCCCGCGAAGACGCCAUUUUGUGCCGCGCACGGCCGCAGUUGCAACUAUAAGUGAUUAAAAGAAGUAAAAUGUGUUUACAAGUCUGGUUGUUGUGAAAGUGUAUUGUUAUUAGUUUAUUCUGACAUAAUUAUUUUUGUUUUUAUUUUCUUCAUGCGCCUGUUGCCAGGUAGAUUUGGUUUUGACAUAAGCACUUUGUUUAAUUUAGUAAUUUCAGUGCCCUGCUAUGGGAGCAAGGUAGAGAUAUAGGUAUAUACAUAUAAAUAUAUAGGCAGAGGAUUUAAGCAGCGAAAUUACACUACCUGGACUAGUGUUUCUAUCAGUUUGGACUGUGGUGAAAAAAAGGUAAUAUAUAUAUUUACGGAACUGUUAUGAAUCUGAAUUUCAGAGAGUAUGUUUAAAGGGCAAAAGAUGAGACAAUUUGUGAGACUAGUUGGUUGUUUGGUGAAAAGGUAAAUCUGAACAUAACACUGAGAUUUGUUGGAUACAUUGUGCUUAUGUGAUAAUUGAUGUUUAAUAAAACCAGAGACAACCUGUUAAGGGGAAAAACGACAACCUGUUCUUCAUGUGUCUCUCUCCUUUACCUGCUAUCACAGGUCAGUGUGUGUGUACACCGCGAUUUUUGCUCCGUGAUUUUGUUCUAUAUUAACAAAUAUUAAGAGCGUGAUUGUUUAUAGCAUGUUAUCUUGAUGUUUUGUUACUAAUUGACAGAGAAUAUAUAAGAAAGUUUCCCCGCGAAGACGCCAUUUUGUGCCGCGCACGGCCGCAGUUGCAACUAUAAGUGAUUAAAAGAAGUAAAAUGUG
This is a long non-coding RNA of Solea senegalensis (Senegalese sole), 970 nucleotides long. RefSeq lists it as uncharacterized. The transcript is spliced from 2 exons. The record is from RefSeq and is a predicted model, not a curated record. Lineage: Eukaryota; Metazoa; Chordata; Actinopteri; Pleuronectiformes; Soleidae.